UACGUAGGGCGCAAGCGUUGUCCGGAAUUAUUGGGCGUAAAGAGCUCGUAGGCGGUCUGUCGCGUCGGAUGUGAAAGCCCGGGGCUUAACCCCGGGUCUGCAUUCGAUACGGGCAGACUAGAGUGUGGUAGGGGAGAUCGGAAUUCCUGGUGCAGCGGUGAAAUGCGCAGAUAUCAGGAGGAACACCGGUGGCGAAGGCGGUUCUCUGGGCAUGUCCUGACGCUGAGGAGCGAAAGUGUGGGGAGCGAACAGG
Molecule: ribosomal RNA, 253 nt
Filed under: uncultured bacterium
Lineage: Bacteria
Description: partial 16S ribosomal RNA
Rfam family: Bacterial small subunit ribosomal RNA
Source: RNAcentral